UGCUGACUUCAAUGAGUCCAAUAUAAUAGAGGGUAAGAGAACGCGCAAGGCAACCCAUCAUAUAGCAGUAUCUAUUGCUAAAGAUAAUCCAAAUCGGAUGAUCAAUGCUGCCUUCGCGGAACCCCUAUCUAGAUCAGAACCUUCUAAAAUCCAUCGAUCUCAGUUAUCUGACCCACCUCAACAUUGGAAUGAUAUCAACAAGCACCUCUAUUGCAAUGAAUGGAUUAACACUGCCAAACAGGAAUGGGACUCUAUAACCCAGCAAAAUACCUAUGAAAUUGUUAACAGACCUUCAAAAGAUACCCCAGUGAUUCCACUACAUUGGGUAUUCAUCUACAAGUUUGAUGAUGAUGGUUAUCUUGUCAAGUUCAAAGCUUGUAUCUGCAUCCGAGG
RNAcentral lists this small RNA (393 nucleotides) under Histoplasma capsulatum var. duboisii H88. RNAcentral describes it as "Histoplasma capsulatum H88 hypothetical RNA". Lineage: Eukaryota; Fungi; Ascomycota; Eurotiomycetes; Onygenales; Ajellomycetaceae. The record is from RNAcentral.